RNAcentral lists this long non-coding RNA (844 nucleotides) under Linum usitatissimum (flax). Its description in RNAcentral is "long non-coding RNA (LUSI_LNC003647)". The record is from RNAcentral. Lineage: Eukaryota; Viridiplantae; Streptophyta; Magnoliopsida; Malpighiales; Linaceae.
CCUAGUACAGUUUAUCCUAAACUAGUACAGUACGGAAAAUCAAUCCAUAGGAUCAACAAUUCACCAAACUAGUACAAUAUGCAAUUCGAUAAUCAACAAUUCACCAAACUAGUACAAUAUGCAAUUCGAUAAUCAACAAUUCACCAAACUCGUACUAUAUGCAAUUCCAUAAUCAACAAUUCAUCAAACUCGUACUAUAUGCAAUUCCAUAAUCAACAAUUCACCAAACACAUGCAUUAUAUAAUUCACCAAAACUAUAUAUAAUUCCACCGCAAAGCGAACUAGUUCAGACACCAGUGAACGUAGAUGGCGACUAACAUGACAACCGUCCCUACGAACAGAGAUGCCGAUGAAUGGAGACGGCAAACAGAAACCAAAAAAAUUGAAAAAUACGGCAGAUAAGUAGUCUAAUUGAAAGGAAGGUUAAGACCAAGAUCUGGGGAGAAAGAUAGAUCGCCAAUCGUGACCCGGUGGCCGUCUAUGAGUCGACGUCGACACCUUGAUCUCAUGGAACGACCGGAGCCCACCUCCUCCUGCAAAACGAAAAUCAAAAUCACAUAUUAAAAACAAACCGUCGAACAAGAUGAAAUAUCUCUUCAAUCGAAAACCGAAAACAUCAACUUACCGGAAAUACGUCCGCCGGACGAUGGUAGAAUUCGCGGCAUAUAGUGGAAAUCACGGGGUUUCAACUCAAUCGAAAAAAAUUAGUGGGGGAGGGGGAGAGAGGGAGUGAGAGGGAGUGAGAGGGAGAAAGAGAACGCGGGUUUCUGAAUGGGGUGGCGGCUAAUUCAGCAAAAUUAUGUGGAUAAGUCGGGUUUUCAGCUUGUUAAAUACUACAAAUCUA